ACUGGUUGAUUGGUGACUCAACACACCUGCUCGUCUUCGCGCAGGUGUUUUUCAAUCAGCUGAUUGCUGCUUCCUCCUCCUCCUCCUCUUCCUCUUCUUAUUUAAGCUUCCUCCAGCCAACAGUUCCGUGAUGUCACUUUGAAGAGAAGCCGCACGAGCUGUGGAACGAAAACAAAAAAAAAGACGCUGAAAAAAAAAGUGUCGCUGCUUAACUAGUGAAAGUGUUCCGGGAGGAGGGAACUUGUGACGCUGAUGCACCGACCGCCUUAAAAAGAACGAGGGAACUUUAAAAAAAGAAGAGUAAAAGAAAAGAAAACUACCGCGGCGUGACGUCAGACGCCGAAAAGCUGGUCGCGUGCAUCAGCAAGGCGCUCCAGGAUGGCGUGUUCGACCUGGUCCAGAUUGGUGUCCCGUCCACAAUGGAACAACCUGCUUCCUGCUCACGGAGACCUGGUCGGACACGUCAUAUACAGAAGCCUGAGGCUGUCGAAAAAAAGAUUGAUCUUCAUGAAGACUGUCAAAGAGUAGGUGUGAUGAUUUAAUUCUGGGUGGCCGCUGUGUCCCCACUCUUUCUUGGCCGCUGUGC
Long non-coding RNA from Solea senegalensis (Senegalese sole), 586 nucleotides. RefSeq lists it as uncharacterized. The record is from RefSeq and is a predicted model, not a curated record. Lineage: Eukaryota; Metazoa; Chordata; Actinopteri; Pleuronectiformes; Soleidae. The transcript has 3 exons.